CAGCAGGGUAAAGGUUAGCCACUCCAGGGAAGACCUGCCCAACUUGGCCCCAGGUUCUGGCCACUGGGCAGGUUCUCUUCUAGCCCUACUGGGAAGACUCCCCUUCUCCAAGACCCCUGGCAGACCCUGCAAUCUCCACACCCUGCCCCCAAGCCCAUCUGCCCUAGACCCCAGCCACUUUCUGAGACAUAGAGACCAGC
Molecule: non-coding RNA, 200 nt
Organism: Peromyscus maniculatus bairdii (prairie deer mouse)
Lineage: Eukaryota; Metazoa; Chordata; Mammalia; Rodentia; Cricetidae
Source: RefSeq, a predicted model, not a curated record